ACUGGUGCUCUCUAUCUGAUGCAGCCAGACUGAAGUAUGAGCAACACUGCCUGGGGGUGAGCAGUGCACACACUGCACCACUGUCCGGGGAGGCUCUGAGUCAGAGUCAAAGCAAAGGCCUGAGAGCUCCCAUCAGAGAGGUCCCAUCUCUUGGGCUGGGCUGGGUAUGUGGUGAAAAUGGAGGCAGGAGGGUGACUCGGAACCUGGACAGCAGUGAUGGGUCCCCAUCCAUGGACACUGGAAUUUAGGGUGGAAGACUGGCAUUUGGAAAGGCAGGCUGACUUCGCUGGACUGACAGCUGGACAGAGAGCUGGCUCGGCCUUCCUUGGUGUGGGAACUGCCUGGGAGACUCAGCAUAAAGGAGCAGAGGUGGAUCGCUCCUGCAGGCAUGUGGUUCCCAAAACAGAAAAGGGGACAGUGAGAAAACUGAGGCACAGAGAAGUUGAAAGCUGCCUAAGGUUCUGCAAUGAAUGAGUGCCACUGUCAGAAUUCCAACACAAAGGACCAGCUGCAGAGCCCAGGAUCUUAACUACUCUGCUAAUCCUUGUGGGCAAAAAUUAUGCAUAUGUAAAUGCUCUUUGCUUAAAUACAGAUGUGGAUGGAUGAACGUAUGUAGGUCAGCCUACCACCAUUUUUCCCUUUUCCUCUUGCUUUUUUUUUUCUUUACAGGAAAAUUACUUGUUUUAUUUCAUAAUAUAUUUGCAUGCUUUUCCAGCUAUAAACAUAGAGAAUUAAGUUCAUCUUUGACAAUAGUUGUCUCAUAAUUCAUGGUCAAAUAUGCUAUAUUUAGCCAUUUCAUUACUCACAGGCAUUUAGAUUCUUUCCAUUUGUUUUCUCUUGAAAUCAAUGCUGCAAUAAACAUCCCUAUGCACAAAACU
This 878-nucleotide long non-coding RNA is filed under the name Homo sapiens (human). RNAcentral's name for it is "non-protein coding lnc-ARL4C-12:4". Lineage: Eukaryota; Metazoa; Chordata; Mammalia; Primates; Hominidae. The record is from RNAcentral.